UAACACGUGGGUAACCUGCCCAAGAGAUCGGGAUAACACCUGGAAACAGAUGCUAAUACCGGAUAAAAGCUACUUUCGCAUGAAAGAAGUUUAAAAGGCGGCGUAAGCUGUCGCUAAAGGAUGGACCUGCGAUGCAUUAGCUAGUUGGUAAGGUAACGGCUUACCAAGGCGAUGAUGCAUAGCCGAGUUGAGAGACUGAUCGGCCACAUUGGGACUGAGACACGGCCCAAACUCCUACGGGAGGCAGCAGCC
This 252-nucleotide ribosomal RNA is filed under the name uncultured Lactobacillus sp. RNAcentral's name for it is "partial 16S ribosomal RNA". It matches the Rfam family "Bacterial small subunit ribosomal RNA", at positions 111 to 355 of the family's 1533-position model. Lineage: Bacteria; Bacillati; Bacillota; Bacilli; Lactobacillales; Lactobacillaceae. The record is from RNAcentral.